RNAcentral lists this ribosomal RNA (497 nucleotides) under uncultured bacterium. RNAcentral's name for it is "partial 16S ribosomal RNA". It matches the Rfam family "Bacterial small subunit ribosomal RNA", at positions 28 to 507 of the family's 1533-position model. The record is from RNAcentral.
GAUGAACGCUGGCGGCGUGCCUAAUACAUGCAAGUCGAGCGAACAGACGAGGAGCUUGCUCCUCUGACGUUAGCGGCGGACGGGUGAGUAACACGUGGAUAACCUACCUAUAAGACUGGGAUAACUUCGGGAAACCGGAGCUAAUACCGGAUAACAUGUUGAACCGCAUGGUUCAACAGUGAAAGACGGUCUUGCUGUCACUUAUAGAUGGAUCCGCGCCGCAUUAGCUGGUUGGUAAGGUAACGGCUUACCAAGGCAACGAUGCGUAGCCGACCUGAGAGGGUGAUCGGCCACACUGGAACUGAGACACGGUCCAGACUCCUACGGGAGGCAGCAGUAGGGAAUCUUCCGCAAUGGGCGAAAUCCUGACGGAGCAACGCCGCGUGAGUGAAGAAGGUCUUCGGAUCGUAAAACUCUGUUAUUAGGGAAGAACAAAUGCGUAAGUAACUAUGCACGUCUUGACGGUACCUAAUCAGAAAGCCACGGCUAACUACGUG